RNAcentral lists this ribosomal RNA (253 nucleotides) under uncultured bacterium. RNAcentral describes it as "partial 16S ribosomal RNA". It matches the Rfam family "Bacterial small subunit ribosomal RNA", at positions 524 to 776 of the family's 1533-position model. The record is from RNAcentral.
UACAGAGGCCUCGAGCGUUAGGCGGAAUCACUGGGCUUAAAGCGUGCGUAGACGGUAGCGUAAGUCAGAUGUGAAAGCCCCGGGCUCAACCUGGGAAUUGCAUUUGAGACUGCUCUGCUCGGGUGCGGAAGAGGGAAGCGGAAUUUCCGGUGUAGCGGUGAAAUGCGUAGAUAUCGGAAGGAACACCAGUGGCGAAAGCGGCUUCCUGGUCCGACACCGACGUUCAGGCACGAAAGCGUGGGGAGCAAACAGG